CAUUCACGGAGAGUUUGAUCCUGGCUCAGGACGAACGCUGGCGGCGUGCUUAACACAUGCAAGUCGAACGAUGAACCGCUUUCGGGCGGGGAUUAGUGGCGAACGGGUGAGUAACACGUGGGCAAUCUGCCCUGCACUCUGGGACAAGCCCUGGAAACGGGGUCUAAUACCGGAUAUGACUGUCCAUCGCAUGGUGGAUGGUGUAAAGCUCCGGCGGUGCAGGAUGAGCCCGCGGCCUAUCAGCUUGUUGGUGAGGUAGUGGCUCACCAAGGCGACGAC
Molecule: ribosomal RNA, 279 nt
Filed under: Streptomyces albidoflavus
Lineage: Bacteria; Bacillati; Actinomycetota; Actinomycetes; Kitasatosporales; Streptomycetaceae
Description: partial 16S ribosomal RNA
Rfam family: Bacterial small subunit ribosomal RNA
Source: RNAcentral